This 298-nucleotide unclassified non-coding RNA is filed under the name Aliivibrio wodanis. RNAcentral's name for it is "putative sRNA". Lineage: Bacteria; Pseudomonadati; Pseudomonadota; Gammaproteobacteria; Vibrionales; Vibrionaceae. The record is from RNAcentral.
AGUAGUAAAAGAACAUAAAAUUGAUCUAUUUCAAUAAAUGAAUUGAGAAUCACGUUAUAGUUGAUCUCGUUAUCUGGUUGAGCAAUCAACCCGUUGAGCAAGAUAACAUUUCCUUUUGAAGGCUGACUUUACUUUCUCCUUAUCAGGUGAAACUGAUUUUACAAUUGGCUAUUCGUUAAUUGUUUUUUAUUCUGACCACAUCGAUUGAUGUGGUUUUUUUUAUCAAAAUUGUCAACAGGUUACAUUUUCAUCCUUUCUUUUACUUGUUUUUAAUACUAUCUCUUCUUACCACUUUCAU